ACUCCUACGGGAGGCAGCAGUGGGGAAUAUUGCACAAUGGGCGCAAGCCUGAUGCAGCCAUGCCGCGUGUGUGAAGAAGGCCUUCGGGUUGUAAAGCACUUUCAGUUGUGAGGAAGGUGGUGUCGUUAAUAGCGGCAUCAUUUGACGUUAGCAACAGAAGAAGCACCGGCUAACUCCGUGCCAGCAGCCGCGGUAAUACGGAGGGGUGCGAGCGUUAAUCGGAAUUACUGGGCGUAAAGCGCAUGCAGGUGGUUUGUUAAGUCAGAUGUGAAAGCCCGGGGCUCAACCUCGGAACUGCAUUUGAAACUGGCAGACUAGAGUACUGUAGAGGGGGUAGAAUUUCAGGUGUAGCGGUGAAAUGCGUAGAGAUCUGAAGGAAUACCGGUGGCGAAGGCGGCCCCCUGGACAGAUACUGACACUCAGAUGCGAAAGCGUGGGGAGCAAACAGGAUUAGAUACCCUGGUAGCACAGAG
This 473-nucleotide ribosomal RNA is filed under the name uncultured bacterium. Its description in RNAcentral is "bacterial SSU rRNA". It matches the Rfam family "Bacterial small subunit ribosomal RNA", at positions 335 to 799 of the family's 1533-position model. The record is from RNAcentral.